CCUUUGAUUUAUGAGGUUAAGUGCAUGGAUUCUUGAAACCGGAAAAUAUCUGUGUCACGUUAAGCGGGAUAUUUAUAAUUGUUCUGCUCUUAAAUAGUGCAAGGAUUAAAUUUGAAAUCGCAAUGACAAUUCCAAAUAGACACAACCUUCUUUAUCGCCUUGCAGACUAUAUAAGUUUGGAGGUAAUAUUAUGAUAUCAGCAUAACGUAAUAAUUAAUUUGCUGCCACUUAUUAAUUUUUAUGUGUCACAAAUGUUUGCAUCUCAUACUUUUACCUUAAAGAGGUUAAAGCAUCUACGGAAUGAAAGCUAUGUUUACGACAGCUAUUCGUGACUAAGUAAGGUGUCAAUAUUAUUGUCACAUAGUUAGCCUUUGUUCUAUACGAAGCACGUUUUUUUUUAUAAAUGAUGAUGAUAUUGGCAUGUGCGAAAUUUUAGUUUCCUUCAAAUGGUUUACUUAUCAUAUGGUUUCUUAACAUGCAUCAUGUGCAACGCACGUAUUGCAUCCUACUACAAAAAAAACAUAUCUACUGCAAACGGCUGCAAUUGUGUGGGGGCUUUACUGUUACUUGCUCUUCUAUAUUUAAUAAUCAAUUGGAAAUUACUAAAACAAUUGAAAAUGUAAAUAGGUGAAAAGUUUGGGAGGGAAAUCAAUAAAAGACUACUAUAAAACAACUAUUGCACUCCCACUCAAUUCACACUGCUUCCCAAAACACUCGGCGGACUCCCCAAUGUAUCGCCAGUUCCCAAAACCCUAGUUGUUAGUUCUCUCUCGAUAAUCGUUCCUGGUGGUGAUCAACGCCUCCCGAUCCGCUCACAAGCGUUCGAUUGCAGCCAAGGCGGCCAUCAAGAAGAUCCAAUGUCGCAUAUGCAAAAAGUGCUUCUCCAAGUCCCAAAUGGUUUCUCACUACUUGGACGUGCAUCCGCAGUACAAGCAUUUGUGUGCUGUUUGCUCUAACGGCUACAAAAGGGAGUCUGAGAGGAUCGUUCACGAGAAGGAGGAGCACGGCGAGGAGGAAGCUGAGGUUGUCAAACCCGAGGCGGCGAUCGGGGCUGAUGAGGAGCAGAACGCCGGAGAGCAUGAGAUUGAAGAGGAGGAUGCUUAGAUCAUGAGCUUAUGGUAAGUAGUAAUUAAAUAAUGAAUUAGAAUUAGAUAUAUAAUCUCAAUCUCAAGUUGCUUUCAGAAUAUCGAACAGCUCUGGUUCCGUUGGUUGCUAUUAAUGAAACCUAGUUGUUUGAUUUGUUGAUCUGGUUCCGUUGGUUGCUAUUAAUGAAACUUAGUUGUUUGAUAUGAUCUUGUAUCGAACAGAUCUGGUUCCGUUGGUUGCUAUUAAUGAAACUUAGUUGUUUGAUAUGAUCUUGUUUCUGUUUGAUCUUAAUUUUGUUGCUAUUUUUGGGUUUUUUCAGGUCAGAAAUUUUAUUACUUGUUUUGUGUUUGGAUCAUCUAAUUAAUAUCCUCUCAUCAUAUUUUCUAUUUUCGAUUAACAACAGUUGUUAGUUGAAUUGUUUGAUGUUAAUCUAAUCUCUAAAUGGUAAUUUUCUAGUUUCUUUUCUAUUGGUUAAUCAAAUUUAAUCGGUCGGACGAAUAUAGAGAAUCCCAUAACCUUUACAUCAAAUAGUUGAGACAAUCUAAGACGUAUGUUUUAUUAUUUUAAUAAAAUGAACAAUAGGAAAUUUUCUUUAGUGUUAUUCUAGACGGAUCAACUAGACGAAUUUUUUUUUUCAUCUGGUUAGCUUUAAACUAGACGGAAAAUUUCCGUCUAGAAUAUUCCAUCUAGUUUGCCAUUAUUCAUUCUAUUAAAAUAAUAAAACAUAAGUCUUAGAUUGGUUCAACUAUUUGAUGUAAAGGUUAUGAGAUUCGCUAUAUUCGUCCGACCGAUUAAAUUUGAUCAACCAAUAGAAAAGAAACUAGAAAAUUACCACUUAGAGAUUAUAUUAACAUCAAACAAUUCAGCAAACAACUGCCAUUAAUCAAAAAUAGAAAAUAUGAUGAGAGGAUAUUAAUUAGAUGAUCCAAAAACAAAACAAGUAAUAAAAUAUCUGACUGAAAAAGAAACCCAAAAAUAGCAACAAAAUUAAGAUCAAACAGAAACAAGAUCAUAUCAAACAAA
This is a long non-coding RNA of Asparagus officinalis (garden asparagus), 2109 nucleotides long. RefSeq lists it as uncharacterized. Lineage: Eukaryota; Viridiplantae; Streptophyta; Magnoliopsida; Asparagales; Asparagaceae. The record is from RefSeq and is a predicted model, not a curated record. The transcript has 2 exons.